GAUCAUGGCGUCAGGAUGAACGCUGGCGGCGUGCUUAACACAUGCAAGCCGAACGAGGGUUGCUGGUUGAAGUUUCGGAUGGAACCGGUAAUUCCUAGUGGCGGACGGGUGAGUAACGCGUGGGGAACCUGCCCCGCUCCGGGGGAUACCAGCUGGAAACGGCUGUUAAUACCGCAUAAGCGCACAGUAUCGCAUGAUGCAGUGUGAAAAACUCCGGUGGAACGGGAUGGCCCCGCGUCUGAUUAGCCAGUUGGCAGGGUAACGGCCUACCAAAGCGACGAUCAGUAGCCGGCCUGAGAGGGCGACCGGCCACAUUGGGACUGAGACACGGCCCAAACUCCUACGGGAGGCAGCAGUGGGGAAUAUUGCACAAUGGGGGAAACCCUGAUGCAGCCGACGCCGCGUGAGUGAGGAAGUAUUUCGGUAUGUAAAGCUCUAUCAGCAGGGAAGAAGAUGACGGUACCUGCACAAGAAGCCCCGGCUAACUACGUGCCAGCCGCCGC
This 503-nucleotide ribosomal RNA is filed under the name uncultured bacterium. RNAcentral's name for it is "bacterial SSU rRNA". It matches the Rfam family "Bacterial small subunit ribosomal RNA", at positions 15 to 518 of the family's 1533-position model. The record is from RNAcentral.